Molecule: long non-coding RNA, 991 nt
Organism: Anguilla anguilla (European eel)
Lineage: Eukaryota; Metazoa; Chordata; Actinopteri; Anguilliformes; Anguillidae
Exons: 3
Source: RefSeq, a predicted model, not a curated record
UUGCGCUGUCGAACUUUUCCAACAAUGACAGCUGUUUAUCAGUUAGUAACUUCUUUCCAAGUCCCCCUCCCUCCCCCUCCAAAGCCCCGUUCUUCGCCGCUUUGUUGUUUUAAGAUAUGCAUGUCUCUCCGGAAUGCCAGUCACGAGUCCAAACUUUGUGUCCAACCUCCCACAUGAAAUGAUCCUUUUAAAGGGAACUCGAUAUGUCUCAAUCUGCUUUACACUACGCUCAAAGCUUUUGGGUAUAUGAGACAGACCCUCAAAUAUAUUAAUUAAAACGAAUUGUUUAGUUUUACGUAAAUAGUUGUACCAGGACGUAAAUUUUAAGAAGACACCAUUUGCAACGAAGUUUAUCGUUUUCUCUCCAACGGCUAAAAGGAGGUCCGCUGAAAAAGUAAGACUUUUGUUUUGACUUUGUCCCGCUACUUCUCGAUAAUGCAUGCGUUGGAGUGAAUGGGUAAGCAAGAAGAGAGAGAGAGAGAGAGAGAGUUAGAGAGACAGGGGAGGGAGAACCGGGAGUGAGAGAGAGAGAGUAGAGGAUGUGCUUGUGUGCGCCUGAGUUUUACUCUGGCUGUCACUGACAACAAAUUAAUCAACACGUGGCAUUUAAACUAGAGAGUGCUAUUUUUUGUGUGUAUAUGCAUGUAGAGCUGAAAUAAAUCAAGUCGCCGGAAAGAGAGGACUCUGGAGAUCGGAAAGCAAAGUUUGCGUUGAAAGGGAGGGCGCAUGAAGCAAGAGCGCGAGGAUAAGCACAAUAGAAGAUCAAUGGCGGCGCCUGAUAUUCACCUGCUGGAGUACUGGGGGACUGCCCUCUGACUGACCCCAGUUCAGGGGUUCACCUGCCGUGCACCACAAACAGACGACCGCCGGGAAGGGCUUAGCCUUCUCAACCAACCGGAGGAUUCCACUUGUCUCGAAGGUCUGUCUCUUAUCAAACAUCUUUAUUUGAUAUGACGGCCCAGUCCUGCGUUCUAAUUAAUGUAAUGUAUCA